RNAcentral lists this ribosomal RNA (289 nucleotides) under uncultured Pedomicrobium sp. RNAcentral describes it as "partial 16S ribosomal RNA". Lineage: Bacteria; Pseudomonadati; Pseudomonadota; Alphaproteobacteria; Hyphomicrobiales; Hyphomicrobiaceae. The record is from RNAcentral.
CUACCGGGGUAUCUAAUCCUGUUUGCUCCCCACGCUUUCGCACCUCAGCGUCAGUACCGAGCCAGUGAGCCGCCUUCGCCACCGGUGUUCUUCCUAAUAUCUACGAAUUUCACCUCUACACUAGGAAUUCCACUCACCUCUCUCGGACUCGAGACGUGCUGUAUCAAGGGCAGUUCCGAAGUUGAGCUCCGGGAUUUCACCCCUGACUGACACAUCCGCCUACGUGCGCUUUACGCCCAGUGAUUCCGAACAACGCUAGCUCCCUUCGUAUUACCGCGGCUGCUGGCAC